GAUCCUGGCUCAGGAUGAACGCUAGCUACAGGCUAACACAUGCAAGUCGAGGGGCAGCAGGAAUCUAGCUUGCUAGAUUGCUGGCGACCGGCGCACGGGUGCGUAACACGUAUCCAAUCUACCCAUUGCUCAGGGAUAGCCUUGCGAAAGUAAGAUUAAUACCUGAUGGUCUCACGCCUCCGCAUGGUGGUGUGAGUAAAGAUUCAUCGGCGAUGGAUGAGGAUGCGUACGAUUAGGUAGUCGGCGGGGUAACGGCCCACCGAGCCUGCGAUCGUUAGGGGUUCUGAGAGGGAGGUCCCCCACACUGGAACUGAGACACGGUCCAGACUCCUACGGGAGGCAGCAGUGAGGAAUAUUGGUCAAUGGUCGAGAGACUGAACCAGACCCAAGUAGCGUGAGGGACGACUGCCCUAUGGGUUGUAAACCUCUUUUGUUUGGGAAUAAAGUGCCGUACGUGUACGGUUUUGUAUGUACCUUACGAAUAAGCAUCGGCUAAUUCCGUGCCAGCCGCCGC
RNAcentral lists this ribosomal RNA (514 nucleotides) under uncultured bacterium. RNAcentral's name for it is "bacterial SSU rRNA". It matches the Rfam family "Bacterial small subunit ribosomal RNA", at positions 15 to 518 of the family's 1533-position model. The record is from RNAcentral.